RNAcentral lists this long non-coding RNA (4445 nucleotides) under Trifolium pratense (red clover). RNAcentral describes it as "long non-coding RNA (TPRA_LNC001791)". Lineage: Eukaryota; Viridiplantae; Streptophyta; Magnoliopsida; Fabales; Fabaceae. The record is from RNAcentral.
AGACCUUAUAUUUCUCGAAUAAAGCUUGAAUUUCAUCGACUUUGUCUUGGUCAAUAUGGGGAAACAAGAAAGGGAACAACCGGUCAUAUGGCACCACAGGUAUAGCAGGUAAACUUUCAUUGACGGUNNNNNNNNNNNNNNNNNNNNNNNNNNNNNNNNNNNNNNNNNNNNNNNNNNNNNNNNNNNNNNNNNNNNNNNNNNNNNNNNNNNNNNNNNNNNNNNNNNNNNNNNNNNNNNNNNNNNNNNNNNNNNNNAGUCUAAAACAUUUAAAACGUCCACAUAAUAAUUAAUAGAAUUCAAAUAAUGAUGCUUAGGGUUAGGGUAAAACGAAAAACACACACAAAAUGAAAUCUAAAGACAAUAAUAAACAUGAGCAUUGAAAUGUGUAGAACCAAAACAUAAAUUGAUAUCAAAUCCAAAAACAGAGAAGAAAUUAAACGCAGAUGACGUGAGGAUUAAGAAAUUAACUAUGGAUGUAGCGAGACUCAUGAUUAGAACUUCCUGUCAAGUUGUGGUGGCUGAAUUUAUCGAUGUAAAGAUAAACGGCGAGGUUUUUCACCUGCGUGUCAUCGAAGAUUUGUACGGACCUAUGAGGAUUAUGACAACUCAGAAACAAGGCCAGCAAGGAAGAUCUAUGGAUAAUGAUAGUUCGGAGGAUGAACGGAGAUUGAUGGCGGUGGUGGAUGAGCCAGAGAGAGAAUCGGAAGGCGAAAAUUUAUUAGCAUUAAACUCUAAUGUUAAUGUCCAUAAUAUUCCUAUUAAUGCUUAUAAAGUUGUGAAUACCUUUUUGUAAGCGUUUAACGUACCUGAGGAUAGGGAGGAAGGUUCAAAUCUUUCUAGUAAUUUUGUCCCUAUCCAAAAUUUAGAAAAUUUGAAUAAACAUGAUCAUUGAAAAACAAUAGCUACUGUAAGUUUGCCGUAUGUGUAGGCUAUUCCUCCUAAGCUACAAGAUUUUUUUUUAUUAAUAUUCAAAUUUAUUCUAGAAUUACUCUCCCCCUAUGUUGGUCUUAAAAAUGAUUUAGUUAUUAUGAAUAGAGAAGGAAAUCCCCCAAGUCUUGAAAUGAUGAUUUCUAUCAAUUGGCGAUUAAAAUGCAAGUCAAAACAAAAACAGGGAAUAUGACAAAUAACUAACAUACAUAAAUUUAAAACCAUACAUUGCUGAAGAUAGUACAAUUACGUCGUUAACUUGAUGUACCAUCAUAGUCUUUGGUCAUCUCGAGAUGUUCUUUAAAGUUUUUUGUUCUUAUAGUCCUCAUGCUUGCGGGGUUAAGGACUGUUAUAAUUUUAAAUCUCAAAUUAUUUUCUUAAGCAUUUUACUCUUACUGUCAUAAAAUAUUUCUAUCUUGAUUGAACACUACAAGAUAGUUUAAUAAUGUGAGUUCAAAAUGCGCUCUUCAAUGGGGAUUGGGGAUUCAGAAGAUAAAGGACUAGUGCACCAAGUAAGGAGUUUUCCCACCAAAAAUUCAAAUUCAAAUAGCAAGUGAAGAUGGGAGGGAACAAUUUUCAAAGAUUUUCACAGGACAAGUGUCCUACACGUGGCAAACAUGCAAAGUUCGAAAACAGUUACUCGAGUUUUCGAAUUUUCUUAUAAAUACAAUAAUCGUAGGCUGUUUUAGGAAGUUCCUUUCCAAUAGAGAAAACAUACCGCCUAAAAUAGAACCACAUUUUCACGCUAACAUACAAAAUGCAAAAAAAACUUCUCAUAUGGCUGUAAUUGAUGUAUGAAACUCAAUUUCUUUAUAAUGCAAUUUAACUUUUCUAGUUAUAGCAUUUUAGAUUGAUUUUACUCAAAAAGACGCUAAACAUUCUAGAAAUUCAAACCAAUCGUAAACCUAUCAACUGAAGAACCCAUUAAGGAUAUGAUCAAAAUCCUAAAUAAACCAAUUGUAAUCAGGACUUAAUUAAAAUGGUCAAGUUUAUUUUAUUCCAACAAACCUAUGGCACUUUUGCAGAAAUGAAUCCUCUCCAUUUAUUUUUCUCAUCUUUUACAAAUGUCCACAUGUGAUAUGUAACUCAAAGGCUUUAACAUAAAUGAAUCUGGUAAACAAGGAUGCAUAAUUUAGAAUUCAAUUAUGUAAGAUUAUUUGAAUAAUACAUAUGGUUAAUGAACUUCAAUAUCAAGUUCACAAAGUCAUGACAGAUACACCAAUCACCAAUCAGAUUCAUGAGCUUUGAAAUCCACAUUCUAAUAAAUUGCAUGACUAGACCACAUUUUCACAAAAUAAGUAGGAACAAAGAACAUGGUUCCAAAAGGAAGCUGACAAAAUCCAUCAACAUUUAACCAACUCACAACUUGCUAUAUUAAUAUCACACACAUACCAACACUUUAACAGGUCACACCCUGCCCAAACACAGGUAUUAUGAGAACAGUCUGUAGCAGCAUUCAUACUUCUAGAGAGAUGUGGCAGAAGAGCCUGUUUUGUUUCUUAUCUACAGGAAGAAAAAAAAUAGUAGUUCUUAGCAUAACCUUGAAAUCAAUACUAUUCAACUGCCUUAUAGAAAACAGCAACCAGUUCUUAACAUAAACCAUCUAUACCUACCUGUCUUAGCAGUAUGUCUCCUGCUAAUUUAAAAGCCGGCUUCCCCACAAUGCCUUUCAUAAGCGGUAUAACAUCAGACUUGGGUAUCUCACCUCUCUAGAACAAAUGACACAAAAAAGUUAGUAAUAUGGAAACGCUUUGCACCCACAAACUUAAAUAGUUUUUAGCACAGAAGUGAGGGAAAAAGAAAUAUUGGUGAUACUGUUUUGGGGCAACAGACCUUGUAUUUUUCACCUAAAACGUAAAGAUCAAUGGUUUUCUCUAUGCCAAUUUGGGGAGCCAAGAGAUGGAACAGCUGGUAAAAUGUCACCCCUGUGUCACUAGAAUUGAUUUGGGUUCCAGGUUGUUCAUUGACUUGUAGAUUGCUUUUCUACAAGGAAAAAAAAAACAGUUCUUAGCAUAACCAUGAAAUCAAUAUUCAACUGCCUUAUAGAAAAAUCAUGCAGCAACGCUGCAUAAACCAUCUACUCUAACUACCGGUUGUUUCACUUUUGCUGCUGCUGAUUUAAAUAUCUGCUCCCCCAAAAUGCCUGUCAUAACCGGUACAAAAGUAUCCUUAGGUAUUUCACCUCUCUAGAACAAAUUACACAAAAAAGUUAGUAAUAUGGCAAAGUCUUGCACCACAAAACUUAGAUAGCACUGAAGAGAGGAAAAAAGAAAUAUUGGGGCAACAGACCCUAUAUUGGUCGAAUAAAACUUUAAGUUCAAUGACUUUGUCUGGGUCAGUCAUAUAGGGUAGCAAGAAAGGAUACAGCUGGUCAAAUGGCAAAUCCAGGUCACUGGAAUCGAUCUGGGUUGUAAACUGUUCAUUGACUGGGACCUGACGAUUUUUAUUCUACAAGGAAAAAAAAUAAAGUUCUUAACAUAAACAUGAAAUGAAUAUUCAACUGCCUUAUAGAAAAAUCAUCAGCAACAGUGCAUAAAACAUCUACUCUACCUGUUGUUCGUGCAGUUGCAUCGUUGCUGAAUAAACCAACUGCAUCCCCACAAUGUCUGUCACACGCGCGAAAAACCUAGACUUGGGUAUUAUUUCAUCUCUCUAGAACAAAUGACACAAAAAAAGUUAGUAAUACAAUAAUGUAAUAUGGCAAAACCUUGCACUACAAACUUAAAUAAUUUUUAACACAGAAGAGAUGGAAAGAGAAAUGAUGGUAAAACCGGUUUGGGGGUAAGAGACCUUAUAUUUCUCGAAUAAAGCUUGAAUUUCAUCGACUUUGUCUUGGUCAAUAUGGGGAAACAAGAAAGGGAACAACCGGUCAUAUGGCACCACAGGUAUAGCAGGAAAACUUUCAUUGACGGUGUCUGUCGUCUGCUGCGCUGUAGAUGGGUCCAUAGUCUUCUAAACCAACUGCAGUCGCAGAUAUUAACAUAAAAGAAGCAUCUGAAGUUAAAUGUUGGCAUCAAUAUAUGCAUUUGGUUAAAGGCAUGAAUUCAUCUCAGCAUCAUUUGUUCAAAGUCUAAAACCUAUAAGCACGACAAGGACAGACACACACUGGCACAUCGAUACCGAUAAUAAUUUGAAAAAACGACAUGAUUAAAUGUAAUCAUAAGUGUCGGUGUUCGAAGACACAUGUUUGACAUCGGGGAAAGCCUAAUCCAAGAGUGUAAGUGCGCUUCGUAGUCUAAAACAUUUAAAACGUCCACAUAAUUAUUAAUAGAAUUCAAAUAAUGAUGGUUAGGGUUAGGGUAAAACGAAAAACGAAAAACGAAAAACACACACAAAAUGAAAUCAAUAGUCAAAAUCGAAAGACAAUAAUAAACAUGAGCAUUGAAAUGUGUAGAACCAAAACAUAAAUUGAUAUCAAAUCCAAAAACAGAGAAGAAAUUGAAGGCAUGAAAAAAUAUAGGAAAAGAACGAACGAAGUCACUCACAUAAAUUGAUAAGCCGAACGCGAUAAGGACCUU